Molecule: long non-coding RNA, 1353 nt
Organism: Homo sapiens (human)
Lineage: Eukaryota; Metazoa; Chordata; Mammalia; Primates; Hominidae
Product: long independently transcribed non-coding RNA 1035
Exons: 2
Source: RefSeq, marked validated
AUCUUUCAGAGAAAUAUUGAAGGAGUAAACUGGGUCUUCCAGCCUACAUCUUUCUCCCAUGCUGGAUGCUUCCUAACCUCAACAUUGGACUCCAAGUUCUUCAGCUUUGGGACUCCAGGACUCUUUGGGACUCUUCAACCACAGACUGAAGGCUGCACUGUCGGCUUCCCUAUUUUUGAGGUUUUGGGACUCAAACUGGCUUUCUUGCUCCUCAGCUUGCAGACGGCCUAUUGUGGGACUUCACCUUGUGAUCAUAAUUGCCCCCCUGGGGUCCUCUUGGCUUCUCUCUCCUGUCGUGGAACCAUGCCUCACAAAGCAAGGGCUGUUGGCCCAGAGUACUCUCUGCUUACUGCAUGAAAGAAGAACCUCUGAUUCAUGCAUGAGGCUGGAUGAAUGAAAGGAGCCCAUAGCUCUCCAUCAUACUCCCCUGAAACAUAGCCUCAGCAACAAGCUUCUAAGGGCAGAACGAGAAAUGAUGAAGCCCCGCUCCUCCUGGGAAGCAGAAAACUACAGCUGAAAGAUGGGGAGGAGUUUUGGAAUUUUCACCACUUACCAGUUAUUUUGGAGAGCUGAUCAGUAGAACGCCUCAUGCUGUCAUCAUAGAAGUUGAUCAAAGUAUUGUUUUCUUUCAGUCCACUAAUUAUAUUUUGUCCUCAAAUUAUAUUCUACCAAAAUUCUGUUUCACCAUAGUCCAAGUAUUUUAAAAAGUUUUCUUGCCCUGUUCUUAUUAUGCAAAACGUAAGAACUAUCCUUUUCCACCAUCUCUUUGAAAAAUCAAAUAUAAAACUGAAACACAAUUCUGUUCCUUUCAUGGUAAUCUUUUCUAUAGUACUCUAUUUUCUGCUCAUUGCUGACAGUAAUGACCACAUAUUACAUUUCAAAUAUGUAUCUAGUUUUCCUAAUCCCUUAUCAAAUAUAUAUUUAUGAAUUGCAGUGGCAGUAUAAACACUUCCAUCUAUAUCUUCAUAUGUAGAAAGCACAGUUUCUUGCACAGGAGAGACGCAAUAAGUAUAGUGUCUAUUAUGACCACAUUUAUAAGUCAAAAAGGAGUUUGAAAUGUUUCUACUUAAAAAGUCCUCCUUUUUCAAAAAUUCUGUGAGACUUUGUGUAGAACAGGAAUUAUUACUUUCUUAAAGUGUGUAGUAGAAUUCACCAGUGAUAGCCUCUAUUCCUGGAGUUUCUUUUGUGCAAUGAUUUUAAACUAUAAAACCAGUUUAGUUGACAGCCUUGAGGCUAUUAAAUUGUAUCCUAAUUACAUCUAUUUCUUUUAAAUGUCUUUCUUAAAUUGACAAAUAAAUUGUAUGUUUUUAUGUAUAAUAUGAUGUUUUAAAGUAAAAUUAGCUAAUUAACAAA